CCCCAGCAGUGAAAGCACUGAGUCCUAACCACUGGACCGCCAGGGAAUUCCCUCUGUAUUUCUAUUGUGCAUCUGUCUGUCCUACAUUCGGAAAUUUUAAUUUUUAAAACGCCUGUGGAACACCACAAGAACACUUGAGCCUAGAUUUCUGCCAUGAAGCUCAAGCAUAUGUGUAGACAUUCCAAAGACCUCACUUACUCCAGGCUUCUAAUAACUUUCCUCAAAGCAACCUGCUUAAUUAAAGGAGUCACUUUCAUAGGAUGGGGGAGAGAAAGAUCAGAAUUUGAGAUUCUGUAACAAAACAGAUGCUUGAUAUACUUUCUUACUGAAGUUCUCUCAACAAACAGCCUGUAAGACAAGAAUUAUCCUCUUUCCACAGAUUCAGCAACUGAGGCCCAAAGCGCUUAAGCCCAUCUCUCCCUGAGCCUCUGUUCUUUCUGCUCAGGCACAAAUAUAAUGUUGGGAGCCAUUGACACUCUUUGUGUCAGUUUACCCCCUUAAACAACUGGCUUUACCUUUAUCUUCUUUCCAAAGA
Molecule: long non-coding RNA, 535 nt
Organism: Balaenoptera musculus (blue whale)
Lineage: Eukaryota; Metazoa; Chordata; Mammalia; Artiodactyla; Balaenopteridae
Exons: 2
Source: RefSeq, a predicted model, not a curated record